GACGAACGCUGGCGGCGUGCUUAACACAUGCAAGUCGAACGAUGAAGCCGGAGCUUGCUCCGGUGGAUUAGUGGCGAACGGGUGAGUAACACGUGAGCAAUCUGCCCUUGACUCUGGGAUAACUGCGGGAAACUGUAGCUAAUACCGGAUACGACACAUUGGGGCAUCCCAGGGUGUGGAAAGAAUUUCGGUCAAGGAUUAGCUCGCGGCCUAUCAGCUAGGUGGUGAGGUAAUGACUCACCAAGGCGACGACGGGUAGCCGGCCUGAGAGGGUGACCGGCCACACUGGAACUGAGACACGGUCCAGACUCCUACGGGAGGCAGCAGUGGGGAAUAUUGCACAAUGGGCGAAAGCCUGAUGCAGCAACGCCGCGUGAGGGAUGAAGGCCUUCGGGUUGUAAACCUCUUUUAGCAGGGAAGAAGCGAAAGUGACGGUACCUGCAGAAAAAGCACCGGCUAACUACGUGCCAGCCGCCGCGGUAA
RNAcentral lists this ribosomal RNA (483 nucleotides) under uncultured bacterium. RNAcentral's name for it is "partial 16S ribosomal RNA". It matches the Rfam family "Bacterial small subunit ribosomal RNA", at positions 28 to 523 of the family's 1533-position model. The record is from RNAcentral.